UCUAGGGUAGCCUAGUGGACAUGGCAUCUGCCCGGUAAGCGGAACAUUGUGGGUUGGAUUCCCAUCCCUAGAC
Molecule: transfer RNA, 73 nt
Filed under: Cordylochernes scorpioides
Lineage: Eukaryota; Metazoa; Arthropoda; Arachnida; Pseudoscorpiones; Chernetidae
Description: tRNA-Thr
Rfam family: tRNA
About the family: Transfer RNA (tRNA) molecules are approximately 80 nucleotides in length.
Source: RNAcentral